This 497-nucleotide ribosomal RNA is filed under the name uncultured bacterium. RNAcentral describes it as "partial 16S ribosomal RNA". It matches the Rfam family "Bacterial small subunit ribosomal RNA", at positions 28 to 507 of the family's 1533-position model. The record is from RNAcentral.
GACGAACGCUGGCGGCGUGCCUAAUACAUGCAAGUUGAGCGCUGAAGGUUGGUACUUGUACCAACUGGAUGAGCAGCGAACGGGUGAGUAACGCGUGGGGAAUCUGCCUUUGAGCGGGGGACAACAUUUGGAAACGAAUGCUAAUACCGCAUAAAAACUUUAAACACAAGUUUUAAGUUUGAAAGAUGCAAUUGCAUCACUCAAAGAUGAUCCCGCGUUGUAUUAGCUAGUUGGUGAGGUAAGGGCUCACCAAGGCGAUGAUACAUAGCCGACCUGAGAGGGUGAUCGGCCAAAUUGGGACUGAGACACGGCCCAAACUCCUACGGGAGGCAGCAGUAGGGAAUCUUCGGCAAUGGACGAAAGUCUGACCGAGCAACGCCGCGUGAGUGAAGAAGGUUUUCGGAUCGUAAAACUCUGUUGGUAGAGAAGAACGUUGGUGAGAGUGGAAAGCUCAUCAAGUGACGGUAACUACCCAGAAAGGGACGGCUAACUACGUG